Balaenoptera musculus (blue whale) is the source of this 469-nucleotide long non-coding RNA. RefSeq lists it as uncharacterized. The transcript is spliced from 3 exons. NCBI's taxonomy places the organism in Eukaryota, Metazoa, Chordata, Mammalia, Artiodactyla, Balaenopteridae. The record is from RefSeq and is a predicted model, not a curated record.
CAACCUGGAAAGGGUGAUGGUGAACACAGCCAUCUCUAUAUAAGCAGCCCAUGGCUAUGUGGUCAGCUCAUUCAUUCAACAUUUGUUUAUGGAGCACCUACUACAUUCCAGAAUACAGGCCUGAAGGAGACAGGCAAGACUCCUGCCAUCUCGGAGCUUAUGGUCUAGCCUGGGAGACACCCAAUAAACAGCUCACUUGGCCAAGAACCUUUCAGUGUCCCAUUACUCAUUGGAUCCUGGCAUGACAAAAGUCUGGAACAGAGGACAGGAGUCUGGAACUAGUCCAGAAAAGGAGACCUGACAUCCCAGAGAAGCCGAGUGACUUACCCAGGUCCUACAAGCAGGCUGCUUGGGCUUCUGCUUUAGCUGUGGUUAGAUUUGAGGUUCCAGGUCUGGCUUGGUUUAGUUCAGGGCCAGGCUAAUAGCUUGUCUGACAAGGACCAGAUGGGGAACAUCACAAUGUCUGGGU